GAUGAACGCUGGCGGCGUGCCUAAUACAUGCAAGUCGAGCGAACAGACGAGGAGCUUGCUCCUCUGACGUUAGCGGCGGACGGGUGAGUAACACGUGGAUAACCUACCUAUAAGACUGGGAUAACUUCGGGAAACCGGAGCUAAUACCGGAUAAUAUAUUGAACCGCAUGGUUCAAUAGUGAAAGACGGUUUUGCUUUCACUUAUAGAUGGAUCCGCGCCGCAUUAGCUAGUUGGUAAGGUAACGGCUUACCAAGGCAACGAUGAGUAGCCGACCUGAGAGGGUGAUCGGCCAACCGGGAACUGAGCCACGGUCCAGACUCCUACGGGAGGCAGCAGUAGGGAAUCUUCCGCAAAGGGCGAAAGCCUGACGGAGCAACGCCGCGGGAGUGAUGAAGGUCUUCGGAUCGUAAAACUCUGUUAUUAGGGAAGAACAAAUGUGUAAGUAACUAUGCACGUCUUGACGGUACCUAAUCAGAAAGCCACGGCUAACUACGUG
Molecule: ribosomal RNA, 497 nt
Filed under: uncultured bacterium
Lineage: Bacteria
Description: partial 16S ribosomal RNA
Rfam family: Bacterial small subunit ribosomal RNA
Source: RNAcentral